Molecule: ribosomal RNA, 497 nt
Filed under: uncultured Marinobacterium sp.
Lineage: Bacteria; Pseudomonadati; Pseudomonadota; Gammaproteobacteria; Oceanospirillales; Oceanospirillaceae
Description: bacterial SSU rRNA
Rfam family: Bacterial small subunit ribosomal RNA
Source: RNAcentral
GUGGGGAAUAUUGGACAAUGGGGGCAACCCUGAUCCAGCCAUGCCGCGUGUGUGAAGAAGGCCUUCGGGUUGUAAAGCACUUUCAGCAGUGAGGAAAGGCGAGUGGUUAAUACCCGCUUGCUGUGACGUUAACUGCAGAAGAAGCACCGGCUAACUCCGUGCCAGCAGCCGCGGUAAUACGGAGGGUGCAAGCGUUAAUCGGAAUUACUGGGCGUAAAGCGCGCGUAGGUGGUUCAGUCAGUCAGAUGUGAAAGCCCCGGGCUCAACCUGGGAAUUGCACCUGAUACUGCUGAGCUNGAGUACGGUAGAGGGUAGUGGAAUUUCCGGUGUANCGGUGAAAUGCGUAGAGAUCGGAAGGAACACCAGUGGCGAAGGCGACUACCUGGACCGAUACUGACAUUGAGGUGCGAAAGCGUGGGUAGCAAACAGGAUUAGAUACCCUGGUAGUCCACGCCGUAAACGAUGUCAAGCUAGCCGUUGGGGGAACUUGAUCCUUU